ACGAACGCUGGCGGCAUGCCUCACACAUGCAAGUCGAACGAGACCUUCGGGUCUAGUGGCGCACGGGUGCGUAACGCGUGGGAACCUGCCCUUAGGUUCGGAAUAACUCCCCGAAAGGGGUGCUAAUACCGGAUAAUGUCUUCGGACCAAAGAUUUAUCGCCUUUGGAUGGGCCCGCGUUGGAUUAGCUAGUUGGUAGGGUAAAAGCCUACCAAGGCGACGAUCCAUAGCUGGUCUGAGAGGAUGAUCAGCCACACUGGGACUGAGACACGGCCCAGACUCCUACGGGAGGCAGCAGUGGGGAAUAUUGGACAAUGGGCGAAAGCCUGAUCCAGCAAUGCCGCGUGAGUGAUGAAGGCCUUAGGGUUGUAAAGCUCUUUUACCCGGGAUGAUAAUGACAGUACCGGGAGAAUAAGCUCCGGCUAACUCCGU
Molecule: ribosomal RNA, 431 nt
Filed under: uncultured bacterium
Lineage: Bacteria
Description: partial 16S ribosomal RNA
Rfam family: Bacterial small subunit ribosomal RNA
Source: RNAcentral